This 253-nucleotide ribosomal RNA is filed under the name uncultured bacterium. RNAcentral's name for it is "partial 16S ribosomal RNA". It matches the Rfam family "Bacterial small subunit ribosomal RNA", at positions 524 to 776 of the family's 1533-position model. The record is from RNAcentral.
UACGGAGGAUCCGAGCGUUAUCCGGAUUUAUUGGGUUUAAAGGGUGCGUAGGCGGCCUAUUAAGUUAGCGGUGAAAUGCAGGGGCUUAACCCCUGAGCUGCCGCUAAUACUGGUAAGCUAGAGAAUGGAUGCAGCAGGCGGAAUGUGUGGUGUAGCGGUGAAAUGCAUAGAGAUCACACAGAACACCGAUUGCGAAGGCAGCUUGCUAAUCCAUAUCUGACGCUGAGGCACGAAAGCGUGGGUAGCGAACAGG